ACCCGCUGAAUUUAAGCAUAUAAGUAAGCGGAGGAAAAGAAACUAAAUAGGAUUCCCUCAGUAAGGGCGACUGAACAGGGAUAAGCUCAGCAUGGAAAUCGGGGCCUCUGGCCUUGAAUUGUAGUCUCGAGUUGCAUUGCCAACGGAGGCGCAGAUGUAAGCCUCUUGGAAAAGAGCAUCAACGAGGGUGAGAGUCCCGUUUGUCAUCUGCAGUCCCCCGUGCACGGUAUGCUUCUAAAGAGUCACGUUCCUCGGGAUUGGAGCGCAAAGUGGGUGGUAAAUUUCAUCUAAAGCUAAAUAUAGGUUCGAGACCGAUAGCAAACAAGUACCAUGAGGGAAAGGUGAAAAGGACUUUGAAAAGAGAGUUAAAAGUGCCUGAAAUUGCUGAAAGGGAAGCGAAUGGAACCAGUGCUUCUUGGCAAGAUUGGUGCGUGCUAAUGUGAUUGGCUGCUGCAUCAGCGCAAGCGUUGCAGUGGUUUUUGAUCAGGAUGUGCGUGUUGUUUCUUGCCUUGUGUGUCAACGUCAGUUCUCAAUCGAGGAAAACGCCAGGGACAUGGUAGCUCUGCUGCGGUGGAGUGAAUGUGCUUGGUUGAACUCAUUUGUGGACUGGUUCAUGCGUGUCUGGUUGCAGUGUUUCGUGUUGCCGAAUUUUGUCUGAGUGUGGAUUUCCUCUCUCAGCUGAGUUUGGUAACUGGAGCAUCUCCCUGACACAACGACGCUGACUAAAUGGUUCUAUUCGACCCGUCUUGAAACACGGACCAAGG
RNAcentral lists this ribosomal RNA (764 nucleotides) under Heterocapsa rotundata. RNAcentral describes it as "LSU rRNA". It matches the Rfam family "Eukaryotic large subunit ribosomal RNA", at positions 23 to 671 of the family's 3401-position model. Lineage: Eukaryota; Dinophyceae; Peridiniales; Heterocapsaceae. The record is from RNAcentral.